GGGUACGUAGCUCAGAAGGUUAGAGCACAUCACUCAUAAUGAUGGGGUCACAGGUUCGAAUCCCGUCGGAGCCACCA
Molecule: transfer RNA, 77 nt
Filed under: Pseudocitrobacter sp. 73
Lineage: Bacteria; Pseudomonadati; Pseudomonadota; Gammaproteobacteria; Enterobacterales; Enterobacteriaceae
Description: tRNA-Met
Rfam family: tRNA
About the family: Transfer RNA (tRNA) molecules are approximately 80 nucleotides in length. Their secondary structure includes four short double-helical elements and three loops (D, anti-codon, and T loops).
Source: RNAcentral